GACGAACGCUGGCGGCGUGCUUAACACAUGCAAGUCGAACGGAAAGGCCCUGCUUUUGUGGGGUGCUCGAGUGGCGAACGGGUGAGUAACACGUGAGUAACCUGCCCUUGUCUUUGGGAUAACUUCAGGAAAGUGGGGUUAAUACCGGAUAGGAGCUCCCGCUGCGUGGUGGGGGUUGGAAAGUCUCGGCGGUUGGGGCUGGACUGGCGGCUUAUCAGCUUGUUGGUGGGGUAGUGGCAUACCGAGGCGUUGACGGGUAGCCGGCCUGGGAGGGUGACCGGCGACAAUGGGACUAAGGGAGGGCCCAGACGCCAACGGGGGACAGCGGGGGGGAGUAUUGCACAGUGGUCGCAAGUCUGAGGCGACGACGCCGGGGGUGGGAAGACGGCCUUCGGGUUGAAAAACGCUUCCGCUUGUGACCACGCGGGAGUGACGGUAAUGGGUAAAGAAGCACCGGCUAACUACGUG
Molecule: ribosomal RNA, 468 nt
Filed under: uncultured bacterium
Lineage: Bacteria
Description: partial 16S ribosomal RNA
Rfam family: Bacterial small subunit ribosomal RNA
Source: RNAcentral